Molecule: ribosomal RNA, 497 nt
Filed under: uncultured bacterium
Lineage: Bacteria
Description: partial 16S ribosomal RNA
Rfam family: Bacterial small subunit ribosomal RNA
Source: RNAcentral
GAUGAACGCUGGCGGCGUGCCUAAUACAUGCAAGUCGAGCGAACAGAUGAUGAGCUUGCUCCUCUGACGUUAGCGGCGGACGGGUGAGUAACACGUGGAGAACCUACCUAUAAGACUGGGAUAAAUUCGGGAAACCGGAGCUAAUACCGGAGAAUAUAUUGAACAGCAUGGUUCAAUAGUGAAAGACGGUUUUGCUGUCACUUAUAGAUGGAUCCGCGCCGCAUUAGCUAGUUGGUAAGGUAACGGCUUACGAAGGCAACGAUGCGUAGCCGACCUGAGAGGGUGAUAGGCGACCCUGGAACUGAGACACGGUCCAGACUCCUACGGGAGGAAGCAGUAGGGAAUCUUACGCAAUGGGCGAAAGCCUGACGGAGCAACGCGGCGUGAGUGAUGAAGGUCUUCGGAUCGUAAAACUCUGUUAUUAGGGAAGAACAAAUGUGUAAGUAACUAUGCACGUAUUGACGGUACCUAAUCAGAAAGCCACGGCUAACUACGUG